Molecule: ribosomal RNA, 658 nt
Filed under: uncultured bacterium
Lineage: Bacteria
Description: bacterial SSU rRNA
Rfam family: Bacterial small subunit ribosomal RNA
Source: RNAcentral
GUCGAGGGGUAAAUGGUAGCAAUACUAUGAGACCGGCGGACGGGUGCGUAACGCGUAUGCAACAUACCUUGUGCAGGGGGAUAGCCCGUGGAAACGCGGAUUAAUAUUCCAUAGUCCAGCUAUAUCGCAUGGUAUAGUUGGUAAAGAUUUAUCGGCACAAGUUUGGCAUGCGUCUGAUUAGCUUGUUGGUAGGGUAACGGCCUACCAAGGCUACGGUCAGUAGGGGUUCUGAGAGGAUUAACCCCCACACUGGUACUGAGACACGGACCAGACUCCUAAGGGAGGCAGCAGUGAGGAAUAUUGGUCAAUGGGCGGAAGCCUGAACCAGCCAUCCCGCGUGAAGGAAGACAGCCUUACGGGUUGUAAACUUCUUUUCUGUCAGAAGAAUAAGCUUGUCGAGACGAGUGAUGCCGGUAUGACAGGAAUAAGCAUCGGCUAACUCCGUGCCAGCAGCCGCGGUAAUACGGAGGAUGCAAGCGUUAUCCGGAUUUAUUGGGUUUAAAGGGUGCGCAGGUUGUUUGAUAAGUCAGUGGUGAAAGUCUGUCGCUUAACGGUAGGAUUGCCAUUGAUACUGUUGGACUUGAAUAUGGAUGAGGUAGGCGGAAUGUGUAGUGUAGCGGUGAAAUGCAUAGAUAUUACACAGAACACCGAUUGCGAA